Molecule: ribosomal RNA, 447 nt
Filed under: uncultured bacterium
Lineage: Bacteria
Description: partial 16S ribosomal RNA
Rfam family: Bacterial small subunit ribosomal RNA
Source: RNAcentral
AACGAACGCUGGCGGCAGGCUUAACACAUGCAAGUCGAACGCCCCGCAAGGGGAGUGGCAGACGGGUGAGUAACACGUGGGAACAUGCCCAAAGGUACGGAAUAUUCUCGGGAAACUGGGAGCAAUACCGUAUGUGCCCGAAAGGGGAAAGAUUUAUCGCCUUUGGAUUGGCCGGCGUUGGAUUAGCUAGUUGGUGGGGUAAAAGCCUACCAAGGCGACGAUCCAUAGCUGGUCUGAGAGGACGACCAGCCACACUGGGACUGAGACACGGCCCAGACUCCUACGGGAGGAAGCCGUGGGGAAUCUUGGACAAUUGGCGCAAGCUUGAUCCAGCCAUGCCGCGUGGAUGAUGAAGGCCCUAGGGUUGUAAAAUCCUUUCGUUGGGGACGAUAAUGACGGUACCCAAAGAAGAAGCUCCGGCUAACUUCGUGCCAGCAGCCGCGGUAA